UACGUAGGGUGCGAGCGUUGUCCGGAAUUACUGGGCGUAAAGAGCUCGUAGGCGGCUUGUCACGUCGGGUGUGAAAGCCCGGGGCUUAACCCCGGGUCUGCAUUCGAUACGGGCUAGCUAGAGUGUGGUAGGGGAGAUCGGAAUUCCUGGUGUAGCGGUGAAAUGCGCAGAUAUCAGGAGGAACACCGGUGGCGAAGGCGGAUCUCUGGGCCAUUACUGACGCUGAGGAGCGAAAGCGUGGGGAGCGAACAGG
This 253-nucleotide ribosomal RNA is filed under the name uncultured bacterium. RNAcentral's name for it is "partial 16S ribosomal RNA". It matches the Rfam family "Bacterial small subunit ribosomal RNA", at positions 524 to 776 of the family's 1533-position model. The record is from RNAcentral.